Molecule: ribosomal RNA, 1345 nt
Filed under: uncultured bacterium
Lineage: Bacteria
Description: partial 16S ribosomal RNA
Rfam family: Bacterial small subunit ribosomal RNA
Source: RNAcentral
GACGAACGUUGGCGGCGUGCUUAACACAUGCAAGUCGAACGGAAAGGCCCUGCUUUUGUGGGGUGCUCGAGUGGCGAACGGGUGAGUAACACGUGAGUAACCUGCCCUUGACUUUGGGAUAACUUCAGGAAACUGGGGCUAAUACCGGAUAGGAGCUCCUGCUGCGUGGUGGGGGUUGGAAAGUUUCGGCGGUUGGGGAUGGACUCGCGGCUUAUCAGCUUGUUGGUGGGGUAGUGGCUUACCAAGGCUUUGACGGGUAGCCGGCCUGAGAGGGUGACCGGCCACAUUGGGACUGAGAUACGGCCCAGACUCCUACGGGAGGCAGCAGUGGGGAAUAUUGCACAAUGGGCGGAAGCCUGAUGCAGCAACGCCGCGUGCGGGAUGACGGCCUUCGGGUUGUAAACCGCUUUCGCCUGUGACGAAGCGUGAGUGACGGUAAUGGGUAAAGAAGCGCCGGCUAACUACGUGCCAGCAGCCGCGGUGAUACGUAGGGUGCGAGCGUUGUCCGGAUUUAUUGGGCGUAAAGGGCUCGUAGGUGGUUGAUCGCGUCGGAAGUGUAAUCUUGGGGCUUAACCCUGAGCGUGCUUUCGAUACGGGUUGACUUGAGGAAGGUAGGGGAGAAUGGAAUUCCUGGUGGAGCGGUGGAAUGCGCAGAUAUCAGGAGGAACACCAGUGGCGAAGGCGGUUCUCUGGGCCUUUCCUGACGCUGAGGAGCGAAAGCGUGGGGAGCGAACAGGCUUAGAUACCCUGGUAGUCCACGCUGUAAACGGUGGGUACUAGGUGUGGGGUCCAUUCCACGGGUUCCGUGCCGUAGCUAACGCUUUAAGUACCCCGCCUGGGGAGUACGGCCGCAAGGCUAAAACUCAAAGGAAUUGACGGGGCCCCGCACAAGCGGCGGAGCAUGCGGAUUAAUUCGAUGCAACGCGUAGAACCUUACCUGGGUUUGACAUGGAUCGGGAGUGCUCAGAGAUGGGUGUGCCUCUUUUGGGGUCGGUUCACAGGUGGUGCAUGGCUGUCGUCAGCUCGUGUCGUGAGAUGUUGGGUUAAGUCCCGCAACGAGCGCAACCCUUGUUCACUGUUGCCAGCACGUUAUGGUGGGGACUCAGUGGAGACCGCCGGGGUCAACUCGGAGGAAGGUGGGGAUGACGUCAAGUCAUCAUGCCCCUUAUGUCCAGGGCUUCACGCAUGCUACAAUGGCUGGUACAGAGAGUGGCGAGCCUGUGAGGGUGAGCGAAUCUCGGAAAGCCGGUCUCAGUUCGGAUUGGGGUCUGCAACUCGACCUCAUGAAGUCGGAGUCGCUAGUAAUCGCAGAUCAGCAACGCUGCGGUGAAUACGUUCCCGGGGC